CUUUGAUUGAAUUAUACAUAGAAAGUGUGGGACUGGCUAUAUGUUGGAUCAGGUGUGACCAGGUUUAUUUUGUUAGAUUACAUCACUGAACGUAGGUUAGAUCUAGUUCAUGCGUGUGGCAGGAGAGAAGAUAAAAGAAUUCAGAAUAAUCAUCAUUCAGAUGAAUUUUCAUUAGAUCAGGUAUAAUAAAGCAUGUAUUAAGAUUUAAUAACAUGCAAAGGACAAUAUUUACAGUCAUUUAAAGAACACUGUAGGCACCUUAACUAUUUCAAUUAACUAAAGCGGUUGUGCUGCCUGGAGUUCUAUGUUUUAAACCAUUCUUAUGUUUCACAGGGAUAAAGGAUCCCUUAGCACUUACAGCAAGUCCCACAGUGACUGUAUGGCAAGACGGGGAGUAGCUCCACCUUACGCCAUACC
Non-coding RNA from Pelobates cultripes (western spadefoot toad), 417 nucleotides. The record is from the annotation of a GenBank genome assembly. NCBI's taxonomy places the organism in Eukaryota, Metazoa, Chordata, Amphibia, Anura, Pelobatidae.